Molecule: ribosomal RNA, 273 nt
Filed under: Foraminifera environmental sample
Lineage: Eukaryota; Foraminifera
Description: partial small subunit ribosomal RNA
Rfam family: Eukaryotic small subunit ribosomal RNA
Source: RNAcentral
AAGGGCACCACAAGAACGCGUGGAACAUGUGGCUUAAUUUGACCCAACACGGGAAAUCUUACCAGGUCCGGACACAUUAAGGAUUGACAGAUUUUUUAUAAUAAAUAUGAUAGUUCUUUCAUGAUUAUGUGAUAGGUGGUGCAUGGCCGUUCUUAGUUCGUGGAUUGAUUUGUCUGCUUAAUUGCGUUUCAUUUAAAAAAAAUUAAUACUAUUUAAUAUAAUUUUUAUAUUAAUAAAUGUAUUAUAAUAUAUUGAAUGCAACGAACGUGACCG